AUGCCGCUAUCACAUCCGCCACUCUUGUGUAUCGCCGGAGAAGGAAGACUGUCCUUCGUUACCAUACAAGACCACGGCGUUCUAGAGCUCUGGACCAGGCAAGAACAGAACGGCGAGUAUGAGGCGGGCUGGCAACACUCUCAGCUGACGGAUUUGGGGAGAAAAAAGAGAAUAAGCAGUGUCUUCUUUGCAGAGAGCAGAGGUGCUUUGCUCGUUAACCUAGAUGAUACAUCCAUUACCAUAGAUCUCAAGAGUAAGGAAAAAAUGCUACUAGUUGAUCUGGAGGACGAGAAAAUGAGGCAUGUUGGCAACAUAUGUUGUUUUAUGUUGCAAGGGCGUUGUAGUAGCACUUGCUGCAGAGGAGGGCACGAAUAUGAUAGGACGUGUCCAUCCAGACCCCCGGUUCUCUACGAGAUAGAUUUGGUAUUUAGCCGCCGUAUGUUACUUACCUCUUCUCAGCUAGGAGAUGAGAUAGGAGAUCGUUAA
This 486-nucleotide ribosomal RNA is filed under the name Triticum aestivum (bread wheat). Its description in RNAcentral is "partial small subunit ribosomal RNA". The record is from RNAcentral. Lineage: Eukaryota; Viridiplantae; Streptophyta; Magnoliopsida; Poales; Poaceae.